Molecule: long non-coding RNA, 279 nt
Organism: Colossoma macropomum (tambaqui)
Lineage: Eukaryota; Metazoa; Chordata; Actinopteri; Characiformes; Serrasalmidae
Exons: 3
Source: RefSeq, a predicted model, not a curated record
UAUCUCAAGUGUUUCGAGAAUUCAGUGCGGGGGUGUCUCCUGGGUAUGCUGCUGCUGGUGGGCACCCUGAGGGAGAGGACACAGCCCCAAAACUACCCCACGGCAUGUGCAUUUUCCAGGAGUAUCUCCUCAUAUUUAGUGUGGAACCCAGCUGUUGACUUUCAUUCAUGAUGAAAAUAAUGAGUGGGCCAUAACAUGUGAGGUCAUCAAAUCCUUAAACCUCAAACAAGAAGCUGGCAAAAAAGAAGCAACUUCAGUAUCAUGGAGAGUGGAAAGACC